RNAcentral lists this ribosomal RNA (471 nucleotides) under uncultured organism. Its description in RNAcentral is "partial 16S ribosomal RNA". It matches the Rfam family "Bacterial small subunit ribosomal RNA", at positions 335 to 797 of the family's 1533-position model. The record is from RNAcentral.
ACUCCUGCGGGAGGCAGCAGUGGGGAAUAUUGCACAAUGGGCGCAAGCCUGAUGCAGCCAUGCCGCGUGUAUGAAGAAGGCCUUCGGGUUGUAAAGUACUUUCAGCGGGGAGGAAGGCGAUAAGGUUAAUAACCUUGUCGAUUGACGUUACCCGCAGAAGAAGCACCGGCUAACUCCGUGCCAGCAGCCGCGGUAAUACGGAGGGUGCAAGCGUUAAUCGGAAUUACUGGGCGUAAAGCGCACGCAGGCGGUCUGUCAAGUCGGAUGUGAAAUCCCCGGGCUCAACCUGGGAACUGCAUUCGAAACUGGCAGGCUAGAGUCUUGUAGAGGGGGGUAGAAUUCCAGGUGUAGCGGUGAAAUGCGUAGAGAUCUGGAGGAAUACCGGUGGCGAAGGCGGCCCCCUGGACAAAGACUGACGCUCAGGUGCGAAAGCGUGGGGAGCAAACAGGAUUAGAAACCCCGGUAGUCCCA